UACGUAGGGACCAAGCGUUGUUCGGAUUUACUGGGCGUAAAGGGCGCGUAGGCGGCUUAACAAGUCACUUGUGAAAUCUCCGGGCUUAACUCGGAACGGCCAAGUGAAACUGUCAAGCUAGAGUGCAGAAGGGGCAAUCGGAAUUCUUGGUGUAGCGGUGAAAUGCGUAGAUAUCAAGAGGAACACCUGAGGUGAAGACGGGUUGCGGGGCAGACACUGACGCUGAGGCGCGAAAGCCAGGGGAGCAAACGGG
This 253-nucleotide ribosomal RNA is filed under the name uncultured bacterium. RNAcentral's name for it is "partial 16S ribosomal RNA". It matches the Rfam family "Bacterial small subunit ribosomal RNA", at positions 524 to 776 of the family's 1533-position model. The record is from RNAcentral.